AACUCUCUCUCUCACUCGAGACAGUCUCCUUUUCCCCUUUAAAGGAAAAUUCUAGAUAUCUUAGACUCUCCCCAAAGCUCGUAGGUACAAAUAGCUCAUUAUGCACUUCCCUGACUUGUCCCAACAGUCUCUCUACUCUUUGUCAUCACUCUCCCACUCAAAAAACCCAUUUAUCCCUCUACUUAUAUGGUUCCCAGCACACUACUACCUAAUUUCCCUUGAAUUUCAACAUAAUUACCAUGGCAGCUCCUAUUUCAUAACCCAUAUGUUACCUCAUCCUUAGUCUACCUAGCCACCUCUUUCAGCCACUCCUUUAUAGGUUAAAGCACCCUCUCAACACAAUAACCAUCUGUUACAUAUCCUUAGCAUUUGCAGUUCCAUCUUUCACAUUCUAGUUUACCUAUUUGAGGGUAAUGUUUCUCACUCUUUAACCUAUGUUCACCUUAAUAUUUUCCACUCAUAAUCCCUAAGUGCUCAUUUUAUUCUCCUCAAUAAUUCCAUACAAAUCUGCCUCCAAUCUACAUGCCCA
This 529-nucleotide long non-coding RNA is filed under the name Carica papaya (papaya). Its description in RNAcentral is "long non-coding RNA (CPAP_LNC002483)". Lineage: Eukaryota; Viridiplantae; Streptophyta; Magnoliopsida; Brassicales; Caricaceae. The record is from RNAcentral.